RNAcentral lists this ribosomal RNA (253 nucleotides) under uncultured bacterium. Its description in RNAcentral is "partial 16S ribosomal RNA". It matches the Rfam family "Bacterial small subunit ribosomal RNA", at positions 524 to 776 of the family's 1533-position model. The record is from RNAcentral.
UACAGAGGUGGCAAGCGUUGUUCGGAAUUACUGGGCGUAAAGGGCGCGUAGGCGGUUCGAUAAGUCCCGUGUGAAAUCCCUCGGCCCAACUGAGGAAUGGCACGGGAAACUGACGGGCUUGAGUUCGGGAGAGGGAAGCGGAAUUCCGGGUGUAGCGGUGAAAUGCGUAGAUAUCCGGAGGAACACCGGUGGCGAAGGCGGCUUCCUGGACCGACACUGACGCUGAGGCGCGAAAGCUAGGGGAGCAAACGGG